UCGGGAAUUUUGGGCAAUGGGGGAAACCCUGACCCAGCAACGCCGCGUGAAGGAUGAAGUAUUUCGGUAUGUAAACUUCGAAAGAAUAGGAAGAAUAAAUGACGGUACUAUUUUAUAAGGUCCGGCUAACUACGUGCCAGCAGCCGCGGUAAUACGUAGGGACCAAGCGUUGUUCGGAUUUACUGGGCGUAAAGGGCGCGUAGGCGGCAUGACAAGUCACUUGUGAAAUCUCUGGGCUUAACCCAGAACGGCCAAGUGAUACUGUCGCGCUAGAGUGCAGAAGGGGCAAUCGGAAUUCUUGGUGUAGCGGUGAAAUGCGUAGAUAUCAAGAGGAACACCUGAGGUGAAGACGGGUUGCUGGGCUGACACUGACGCUGAGGCGCGAAAGCCAGGGGAGCAAACGGGGAUUAGAUACCCCAGUAGUCCCUGAGCGGGCUGGCAAGGCGCAU
Molecule: ribosomal RNA, 449 nt
Filed under: uncultured bacterium
Lineage: Bacteria
Description: bacterial SSU rRNA
Rfam family: Bacterial small subunit ribosomal RNA
Source: RNAcentral